This 468-nucleotide ribosomal RNA is filed under the name uncultured bacterium. RNAcentral's name for it is "partial 16S ribosomal RNA". It matches the Rfam family "Bacterial small subunit ribosomal RNA", at positions 28 to 507 of the family's 1533-position model. The record is from RNAcentral.
GACGAACGCUGGCGGCGUGCUUAACACAUGCAAGUCGAACGGUGAUGCUCCAGCUUGCUGGCGUGGAUCAUUGGCGAACGGGUGAGUAACACGUGAGCAACCUGCCCCAGACUCUGGAAUAAGCGCUGGAAACGGCGUCUAAUACUGGAUACGAAACUGGCCCGCAUGGGCAUGGUUUGGAAAGUUUUUCGGUUUGGGAUGGGCUCGCGGCCUAUCAGCUUGUUGGUGAGGUAAUGGCUCACCAAGGCGACGACGGGUAGCCGGCCUGAGAGGGCGACCGGCCACACUGGGACUGAGACACGGCCCAGACGCCUACGGGAGGCAGCAGUGGGGAAUAUUGCACAAUGGGCGAAAGCCUGAUGCAGCGACGCCGCGUGAGGGAUGACGGCCUUCGGGUUGUAAACCUCUUUCAGCAGGGAAGAAGCGAAAGUGACGGUACCUGCAGAAGAAGCACCGGCUAACUACGUG